CCUACGGGUGGCAGCAGUAGGGAAUCUUUCACAAUGGGCGAAAGCCUGAUGGAGCAACGCCGCGUGCAGGAUGAAGGCCUUCGGGUUGUAAACUGCUUUUAUAAGCGAGAAAUAUGACGGUAACUUAUGAAUAAGCAUCGGCUAACUACGUGCCAGCAGCCGCGGUCAUACGUAGGAUCCGAGCAUUAUCCGGAGUGACUGGGUGUAAAGAGUUGCGUAGGUGGCAUAAUAAGUAGCUAGUGAAAUCUGGUGGCUCAACCAUUCAGACUAUUAGCUAAACUGUUAAGCUCGAGACCGUUAGAGGUAACUGGAAUUUCUAGUGUAGGAGUGAAAUCCGUAGAUAUUAGAAGGAACACCAAUAGCGUAGGCAGGUUGCUGGGACGGUUCUGACACUAAGGCACGAAAGCGUAGGGAGCAAACGGGAUUAGAUACCCCUGUAGUC
This 442-nucleotide ribosomal RNA is filed under the name uncultured bacterium. Its description in RNAcentral is "partial 16S ribosomal RNA". It matches the Rfam family "Bacterial small subunit ribosomal RNA", at positions 338 to 795 of the family's 1533-position model. The record is from RNAcentral.